CAGUCGCCGCGGUAAAACGAAGGGUGCAAGCGUUAAUCGGAAUUACUGGGCGUAAAGCGUGCGUAGGCGGUGAGUUAAGUCUGCUGUGAAAUCCCCGGGCUCAACCUGGGAAUGGCAGUGGAUACUGGCUCGCUAGAGUGUGUCAGAGGAUGGUGGAAUUCCCGGUGUAGCGCUGAAAUGCGUAGAGAUCGGGAGGAACAUCAGUGGCGAAGGCGGCCAUCUGGGACAACACUGACGCUGAGGCACGAAAGCGUGGGGAGCAAACAGGAUUAGAGACCCCGGUAGUCCCUGUCUCUUAUAC
Molecule: ribosomal RNA, 301 nt
Filed under: uncultured bacterium
Lineage: Bacteria
Description: partial 16S ribosomal RNA
Rfam family: Bacterial small subunit ribosomal RNA
Source: RNAcentral